Molecule: long non-coding RNA, 557 nt
Filed under: Prunus dulcis (almond)
Lineage: Eukaryota; Viridiplantae; Streptophyta; Magnoliopsida; Rosales; Rosaceae
Description: sRNA ncRNA
Source: RNAcentral
GGAUGUAGCGUUGCCUUGUGUAUUGGGAUAGACAUUACAACGCCAUGAAACAAAAAGAACAUAACAUGUUCCAUUUUGGAGACAUCAUGGCAUUCAUUAUAAGAAACCAAGCUUUUUGAGGUGUAGGAUUUGAUUCAAGUCAUACAACAAUACAAAAUUGAUGAAGAUAGUUUGGGCAUCAUGGCAUUCAUUAUAAGAAACCAAGCUUUUUAAGGUGUAGGAUUUGAUUCAAGUCAUACAACAAUACAAAAUUGAUGAAGAUAGUUUGGGCAUCAUGGCAUUCAUUAUAAGAAACCAAGCUUUUUGAGGUGUAGGAUUUGAUUCAAGUCAUACAACAAUACAAAAUUGAUGAAGAUAGUUUGGGCACACGGUUUUAGUUUCUUCAAUAAGGGAGUGUUCGGAGACUCAACUUUAAACUUUUGUAACACUUGAAAAAGAAAUGUCACUAGUUAAGAACUAAUUGAUAGCCCGAAAAUCCCCUUCUCCGUAAAAACACUCUAGAGCCGUUUUCACUUUGAGGAUUGAGGAAGACACUGUUCUUCCUCCCUUCUCCUUUC